UUAUAUUCCCAAAAGGAUUAACAUAAACUAAAGAUGACAAUCUAAGUGACUCUUUUAGAGCCCAUCUUGAAGGUAGGAACCAAAAAGGCGAAUGUGAUGAGAUAUUACCUUAAAGUGCAAAUGUUUGUCCUACUCACUUGGGAAGCACAUAAUCCUUAAAUAGGGGCUUUAUUUUUUCAUUUGUGUCAUUGUAUAUUGGGCAAUGGUUAUCCACCUCAACCCCUUCUUGUCUUAAUACAUUUCUCAUAGUUAAUAUAACUCUACAUAGCCUCUAAAUAAAAUGUUUCACCCUCAAAAGAAUAGGAUAUUUUUCCAUUGUGGCUUUAAGCUUGCCAUGCUUGAUAGUAGUUGUUUUACUGUAUAGUCUCUAUCUCUUGAAAUGCCUUAAAUGAAUUUGUUAGGCGAUACAAUUUUCACCAUUAUGGCACCAAGCUUCCUAUGUUCGGUAACAUGUUGUUUUCAUCAUAUAGUCUCCAUCUCUUGAAAAGCUCGAGAUGAGCUUGU
Molecule: long non-coding RNA, 504 nt
Filed under: Carica papaya (papaya)
Lineage: Eukaryota; Viridiplantae; Streptophyta; Magnoliopsida; Brassicales; Caricaceae
Description: long non-coding RNA (CPAP_LNC005774)
Source: RNAcentral